AGAGUUUGAUCCUGGCUCAGAUUGAACGCUGGCGGCAGGCCUAACACAUGCAAGUCGAGCGGAUGAUGGGAGCUUGCUCCCGGAUUCAGCGGCGGACGGGUGAGUAAUGCCUAGGAAUCUGCCUGGUAGUGGGGGACAACGUUUCGAAAGGAACGCUAAUACCGCAUACGUCCUACGGGAGAAAGCAGGGGACCUUCGGGCCUUGCGCUAUCAGAUGAGCCUAGGUCGGAUUAGCUAGUUGGUGGGGUAAAGGCCUACCAAGGCGACGAUCCGUAACUGGUCUGAGAGGAUGAUCAGUCACACUGGAACUGAGACACGGUCCAGACUCCUACGGGAGGCAGCAGUGGGGAAUAUUGGACAAUGGGCGAAAGCCUGAUCCAGCCAUGCCGCGUGUGUGAAGAAGGUCUUCGGAUUGUAAAGCACUUUAAGUUGGGAGGAAGGGCAGUAAGUUAAUACCUUGCUGUUUUGACGUUACCAACAGAAUAAGCACCGGCUAACUUCGUGCCAGCAGCCGCGGUAAUACGAAGGGUGCAAGCGUUAAUCGGAAUUACUGGGCGUAAAGCGCGCG
RNAcentral lists this ribosomal RNA (568 nucleotides) under uncultured bacterium. Its description in RNAcentral is "bacterial SSU rRNA". It matches the Rfam family "Bacterial small subunit ribosomal RNA", at positions 8 to 571 of the family's 1533-position model. The record is from RNAcentral.